UUAAAUCAAAAGGAGCGGGAUGAGCGAAAGAAGACGUUGUAGGAGGAACGAGAGAAGAUGUUGUAGGAGGUACAGAAGAAGCGAGAGAGGUUGGCUGAGGUUGACCAAGAGAAGUGUACCCACAAUGUGAUUGAGGUAUAAGUAUAAUUUAAAAUAUAUGCGUUAUAUGUUGUUGUUAUCAUUUGUGUAUUUUAAUUUUUGUAUUGUAUUCA
Molecule: long non-coding RNA, 212 nt
Filed under: Lathyrus oleraceus (garden pea)
Lineage: Eukaryota; Viridiplantae; Streptophyta; Magnoliopsida; Fabales; Fabaceae
Description: Pisum sativum (pea) long non-coding RNA (PSAT_LNC015750)
Source: RNAcentral